RNAcentral lists this ribosomal RNA (497 nucleotides) under uncultured bacterium. Its description in RNAcentral is "partial 16S ribosomal RNA". It matches the Rfam family "Bacterial small subunit ribosomal RNA", at positions 28 to 507 of the family's 1533-position model. The record is from RNAcentral.
GAUGAACGCUGGCGGCGUGCCUAAUACAUGCAAGUCGAGCGAACGGACGAGAAGCUUGCUUCUCUGAUGUUAGCGGCGGACGGGUGAGUAACACGUGGAUAACCUACCUAUAAGACUGGGAUAACUUCGGGAAACCGGAGCUAAUACCGGAUAAUAUUUUGAACCGCAUGGUUCAAAAGUGAAAGCCGGUCUUGCUGUCACUUAUAGAUUGAUCCGCGCUUCAUUAGCUAGUUGGUAAGGUAACGGCUUACCAAGGCAACGAUGCAUAGCCGACCUGAGAGGAUGAUCAGCCACACUGGGACUGAGACACGGCCCAGACUCCUACGGGAGGCAGCAGUAGGGAAUUUUCGGCAAUGGGCGCAAGCCUGAUGCAGCAAUGCCGCGUGAAGGAUGAAGGCCUUCGGAUUGUAAACUGCUGUUAUAAGGAACGAAACGACUCUGGUUAAUCCGCGCGGAUAAUGACGGUACCGAAAGAAUAAGCACCGGCUAACUACGUG